CUGUCCUCAUAUUGCACAGUGGCAGAGAACUUGGCAACUUUCCGUUAUGACAGAUAAAUGUGAAAUACCCACAAGCGCCGUUGCUUGGAGUAAAAGUUGGAAUAUGAAGAAUUUAAGUAAGCUGCAAGUUUAAGACUUUAAGCUGUGCUUGUAAACUAUUACUUAUGUUAAUAACAGUGAUAUCGAUAUACUGCCAACUAUCAACAUCUCUGAGAAGGCUUCUCUUUAUUCUGUAGGAGAAACAGUAAUGCAACGAACCAAAGCGAAAACGAAACUGAAACUGAGACUGGAAUGCAACAAGCUGAAAAUGGUGGGAAAGGUGGGAAAAGAGGCGGGAAGUGGCUCAGUUUAGCUGUGAAAGUUGCGGCCUGUGAAAGUGAAAAUGGAAAUGCUUCGCAGUCGACGUCGGCGUCGCUGCUGACGUCGCUGUUUGCCGGCUAACAUGAAAACCCACUGACAUCAAUUUUGGCAAGGGGGAGUGUUGGAAAUGGGGUGAAAAUGUGAGAGCGACGAGAGGCAAGCUAAAUUUGCAUAUCAAAUAUAACUGGAUAAAAAAGUAAUUUAACAGCUGCUGCGAUAACUGAAGUCUGGCUUUGCUUUU
Drosophila grimshawi is the source of this 601-nucleotide long non-coding RNA. RefSeq lists it as uncharacterized. The record is from RefSeq and is a predicted model, not a curated record. NCBI's taxonomy places the organism in Eukaryota, Metazoa, Arthropoda, Insecta, Diptera, Drosophilidae. The transcript is spliced from 3 exons.